UUUUGGUCAAGUAAUAGCCGUCAUGUAAAUAACCAUAUAUUUUCUCUCGUAUUAUGAUUUGAUAAAAGUCAGGUUCUUAUUUCAUUCCUAAUAUUUGUUCCCUUUUAUUCGAUAUUUCUUCUAUCACAAAUACAGUACAUUUUACUUGGAUCUGGUUGUUUUGUGGUUGGGUUAGAUCUGGUCGAUUUACAUCUUAAAGAUGGUUUGGUCGGUUGCGUUUAAUGUUUUUCAAUCUUGCUUUCUCCGUUUAAACUAAACCGUGCAAAUCACCUAAUAGUACGUGACAACAUAAGUUGCGUUGGAGUAAACAUGAAGAAGCAUAAGUGUUGUCAAAAUCAAAUUAGGCGAAUUUGUAUGUCUCCUUGAAAAAAGAACCAAGAGGUCCCUUCCUGGCUUGCUCGCAAUGCCGUUCAAACUUACAUAUGUUGGGUUGUUCCAAAAAAAUUUCAUAUGGUCGUGACAUGAAUGUUGUCCAUAUGACGUCAACCAUGAAAUCUGAGAGGAUUGUCGUUCCACAAAAAUCGUGAUGGGAGGUUGAAAUAUGGAGGUCUGUAUGGGUGUGGUAGAUGAUAUGAUAUGAAGCAACUUCUGGUGUUGGAUACUAAUGUCCAUUGGAAGGACAGGUUCCUGUUGGUUGCGGAAAUGGUCCUGUGGGAUCGAUGGUUCAGGUUUUUCUUUCAAACAUAAGUUGAGAGUCUUAAUUAGUAGCAGCUAUUUAGUACAUAAUUAUUAACAUAAGGCUUAGAAAUUUCUAACUCUAAUAAUCUAUCAUAUGAUUGAUGAUGUUUAUAUGUUUGUGCUGUUUUAGGUCCUGUUAAGCUUUGUAUUCAUCUCUUCUAAACAGGACAACCCUUCCAAUAUUUUAUGGUCUGUUUCUAUAACAUCAUCCAAUAAUGAGCCUUCAACUCUUAACUAGUAAGUAGUAACAUGUUUGCAUUUCUAUAUAACUGUACUUGGUUAUUAAAGGGGUCUUUUUUCGAAGUAUUUAUUUUCUUGGUCUGUUUGGUCACAUGGGGAUGACCGGCCAUUUUUUUGAUUAUGAUGUAACAGCCUAGCGGGUUUUUUUUUGCCCCGGACAGUUUCAAACAUUUACCUGGCCAUCCCAAGACAUAAUUCGAAUCUAAAACAUCUUGUGAGGAAAUAUGAUCCUUGUCAAUAAACCAAUCGGUGAUGUUUUUUUUCUCAAAGUAUAUGACAUGAUAUAGCAAUUGUGAUUGAACAUAAAUUCCACUAAUAGUAACUUUAAAAGUGAUCAAAGAUUAUUACUCGUUCAAUAAGACUUUUUCGAAUACACGCUUGUGGACAUUCACCACGAAAACAGAACAUUUACAGAACCUGCAUCAUAAAAUACUUUGGAGCAGAUAUAUUGACUUCACAUCUAAAGUGUAUAUGUCACAGAAUGAAGUUUGGCCCAGAACCCUGCAAAAAAUACGAGUAAAUAGUAUUAAAAUUAGAAAGAUUCCCAAUUGCUAAGACAAAGAUUGUUCAUCUCAGGUUCAGUCCACAACCAUGAGUAUCAUCAUAAUCGUGAAUUGCUGGCUCCAGAUUCUUUAAAACUUGAUUUAGUUUGGUAAUGUGAUCAGUUGAAGAUAAAUGAACUGUUGCAGUCUCCCAGUUAAGAUUUAUUGAGUCUGAACGAAAACAUAAUAGGCUCGAUAACCAUAUAGAGAUGUAUCAAAUGUAACUUAUUUUACCCCGGUCAUCUUUUUCAUACCAUUAACAUGAAAGCCCCAAAACAAGUUGUUUAUUAUAAUUUUCAUACAACUAACGAUGCCUAUUUUUACACAAAAUGUGCCAGCAUAGAAUUUACCUGAUUUUACCAAUCUAUGCAACAGUCUAGUUCACUAGCAGGGAUUGAACGGGGAUCUAUAUGACUAUCUAAAGUUUACGCUAAAUACAUAUAUCCAUAACCAGAGAAUCCUAACUACAACUUGGACUCGCCACUUUACAAAUCAUAGAGGGUCCAUAGUCCAUACUGCACCCUAAGAAUAGGUGCACGCUUGUCGUGCACAAUAAUUGGACUAACGGCCCUUAGCCUAAGAAAACCACUAAGACCAUUAAAAAUCUUCCAAAAUCGCAGUUGAGUAGUAAAACUCUGUCAUAUAAGUUUCAACACUCCUAAGGUACUUCACUCCAAAUUUUAAGCAAGAAAACCAAACCAAUGUUAAUUUGUGACAUCUAUUGCAAAACAUUGUUAACCGGCCCACAAUCGGUUCUCUAUCCAUAAUGUUAGGGGCAUAUUUGACCCACUCCACACAAUGUCAUGAUUAUUAACCGAAACUUUAAAAAUUACUUAUCAAUCAAAAACUACUGUAUUUUGAUACAGGCACAAAAAUUAUAAGUGAAAAAAAAAGAGUAUAUAUAUAAUAUACUUACCUUUAAAUAAAACUUAAAUUGAUUGAGAAUAAGUAUAAUCAUGUUGACAAGCUUUACUCUUACAAUCAGGAACAUCUUGAAACAUAUCAGCAGGCAACUUUUUCGACAAAUAACCAACAUGAAACUCAAUCAUACCCGAAUCCACAUCCAAAUCCAUACCAGUAACACUUAACCAUAAAAACAACUGUUUAGCUUGAAUACCAGUCACACCAGAUAUUGACCCAUAAGUCAACUUUCCUUGAAUUGUUUUACUGUAGUAAACAGUUUGAUCAUCAAACUUUACGUAGCAAGGGCGCGUGAGCUGCACGGUAAACGACCCGUCUGUUGGUGACAGUUUGUAGGAUUCUACCGCGUUCGGGAGGAUCCCGACUGGCAGACCGAAUUCUGGUAAGAUGUCGUGGAUGUCGUCCGAGGUUGCGGUUAGGAUGAGGUGGAUUGUGAUUAUAGAGAUGAUGAUGAAGGGAGGUUGCUUGAAAGAAGAAGCCAUUGAUGUCGUAUGGAUUUAGAAGUCAACUAGGACUUUAUAUGUAUGGAUUUGAUAAACAGAAAUUAUACUCGUAUAAUGAAUGAAUGCUCUAAAUUCUAUGUUAAA
Long non-coding RNA from Erigeron canadensis, 2968 nucleotides. RefSeq lists it as uncharacterized. The transcript is spliced from 2 exons. NCBI's taxonomy places the organism in Eukaryota, Viridiplantae, Streptophyta, Magnoliopsida, Asterales, Asteraceae. The record is from RefSeq and is a predicted model, not a curated record.